GUUCAUAACCAACAGGAUGAAUGUAGGAACCUAAUUAAGACAGACUGACUCACCCUCUGGGAAGCUUCAGAAGCACUGCUCUUUCCUGAGAGAGUGGAGGAGGAAGAGUGUAAGAGAAUUAGAUGAGUAAGCAGUAGGUACUUCAGGAUAGCUGGUUUGCCUCCCAGCACUGAACACUUGAACUGUAGAUGCACCCUCAGCUAAGUCAGGAGCCCAGCACAGUCUGAACCUGGCAAAGAGCCUUCAGAAAGCAUCCCUGAGUUUGCUCCUGAAGAGGAGGAAUAGCAGUGAUCAACUGUUUAUGGGCCACAUCCAAGUAAAUCUCUAUGGGCUGAGGUGAGGACAGACUUGCCUGCAGAAAUCAAGACUCCAGUGCAAACCUUGCUGACUAUGCUGACAGAUUCUUUAAAAUUGGAUUGAAGCCAGACUUCAAAGAAGAAAUUGCUCCUUCUGAAGAGAGAGCCUCAGUGCCCUGUAUGGUUACCCUUUGAUGCCUGGAAUACUGUGAUGAGAUACUCCUUGAGCCUUCUCUUCUCCAGGGAGAAAAGAACUGACUCCCUCAGCCUUUCCUAGUGGCCCUUCAUUGGACUAUUUCCAGUCUAUCCAGAUUCUUCUUGAAUAGUGGCAACUAGAACUGGACAAAGUAUUCCAGGUACAUCCUGACAAGCAUGGAGCAGAGCCAUUAUAAGGCAAUAAAAAUAAAUUCUGUAAAUGAUAAUUCAGCAUUUAUCAGGG
Molecule: long non-coding RNA, 735 nt
Organism: Passer domesticus (house sparrow)
Lineage: Eukaryota; Metazoa; Chordata; Aves; Passeriformes; Passeridae
Exons: 3
Source: RefSeq, a predicted model, not a curated record